Molecule: long non-coding RNA, 3275 nt
Organism: Phocoena sinus (vaquita)
Lineage: Eukaryota; Metazoa; Chordata; Mammalia; Artiodactyla; Phocoenidae
Source: Ensembl
GGUUCGUUCUGAGGCUCUUCUUGGGCUUUGUUUGGCAGAAUUGAGACCGGUAAGUUCCUAUCUGAGUCACUUAGGCCCUGUGCUUGGGCCCAAUCUAAUAACGAAUAACCUUCCAGAGGCAUCAGAAUGUAAGUCAGGCAUGUUUUCUGACUCAUGGUCUCCCUGGAAUGCCCUUUAGUUCCCUUUAGGCGUGUCUUGCUUCCAGGCUCCUUAGGAAAUGUCAGAGGGCUCUGACCUAAGGCAGCUCGGGCUGGGCUUCCUCCAGCACCUCUAAAAAGACCCAGGGAUCGGGGUGCAGUGGGGUCACGGAGUAGCCAGCUCAUACAUGGAUCUGCUCAGAGCUGGUCAACGGUCGAGGAAUUUCACAGAAGAGAUAGAAACGAAUCCCUGCCAUUGCUCUGACUGAGGUCCCAGGCAGUGUUUAUGAUUCCUGGGCCAGGCUCUCAUCUGCCCUUUAUUAAACACCCAGCCCAGUUGGUUGUGAGCACCAGGGGGCAGAGGAAGGUGAGGAGUCAAGAAGGUUUUUGGAGAUAAGGCAGACGGGGUCAGCAUCACAGGCCGUGGACUGCAGACUCGAAGUUUGACUGGCAUAUAGAAAUGCAGCUGCGCGCACUGAAUCCGAAUUGCCCUCCGAGACUGUAGGACCUGAAGACCGUCGUCUUGAGGGAGAGAGGGCCUGCAACCCCUAGAGCUGGGGACAACACUGUGAGAAUGAGAGGAAGUGGAGAUUAUUGUGGACUAGAAGUAUUUCUGAAGCUCUUUUGAGCAGCUGGGACUGAAUGAAAGGAUUUCACAGCUUCUUUCAGAAGAUUAUCAUCCUGCACUUGGUAGAGGGAGAAGGUGGUGCGUACCAGUCUCGGGCCACUGCGUGAGCAUGCCCGGGUCUCUUCUGCUCAGGAGUCAAAAGCAAUGCUGCAGAACUCUUCUACCAUGUCUCUGAGGCUGUCUGGGGUCCACAUGACGCUCCAAGGAUGACUUGUCUCCUCCUCAAGAAACUCGGAGCUCGAGUGCCCUUUCACAAAUGGGAAAAUGGGCAGGUAUUGGGCCUGUUGGGGGAGAUGGCUGGUUCGGGCUGGCCCAGACAUCCUUCUCCCUCUGCCUCUGACUGUUUGUUUCCAAGUCACCUUUAAUGCUGUAAACCACUGCUUGUCACUUUGCCAAAUUACUUUGCUCUUACUUAAGCGUGAUUCAUGCACUGGAUGUUUUUGACAUUUGAAAAUUACUUGGCUCUUUGGGCAAUUUUCUUGUUUGCCUUCAAGAAAAUGCCUGCAGUUCUCUAUUUCUCUUGGGGAAAGGUGAGACCCAGGAUGCAGGUAAUGAAGUGGCUGAACUGCCAGGUGUUGGGUCUGAUGAACUUGGAGGGUGUGGCUGAGUUAUAAGGCUUUUGCUCCUAAGCAGAUCGGGGCAGCUCCUCAACCCUGUGUGAGGGAUCAUUUGUGAGUAAAAAUUAUUCAUCUGCAGAAUCACAUUCCCCCUGAGUUGGCCAUAGAGGUCAUCCCUAUGCAGAAGCCAACCAUGGGGCCAGCCCGUGGCCAGGGAAGGCACUUGGGUGGCACCUAGCCUACCUGCUUCUGUCCUAGCAAUGCCCACACGCUGUGUGAUCUUUUCCUCUGUGGCCAAGGGCCAAUCACUCCAGACCCAUGGACAUGGUUGUUGCAGUAUUGUCUUUCCACUCCACUGAGCCAGAACGGCCAUUACUGGGGAGAGGUUGCUAAUUGGAUUUCAUGUAAUUACCCACUCACUUAUUAAGAUCCACCUCCCUCCCCCCCCAAAUAAACCACCCCCUUUCCAAUGCCAAAACUGAGUUUAUACCACUGCAGGAGGCAGAAUUCAGAAUAACCUGGUCCCCACCUUGAAGGAAACCAUUGAUCUACCAGGGAAAGGCACAGAUUCAUGGUCAUGUACAACUGCUCAUCCCUAGAUGCUAGCUAAUUUUCCCAUUAGUUCCCUAUUUAAAUUGUCCGUUGCUCUCCACUGAAAUCCAGUGCUCUGAACUUGGCAUUCAAGGCCCUGGGUUUGUCCUAGCUACCCUCCCUCCCUUUGUAUGGUUUCCCAUCCUUCCUCAUGCAUUCCAGGUGAGGAGUGGGUACCCUGCUGUGGGGUGAGAUGGCAUCGGCCAAAGAGAUAAGGAACCAAGGCUAUAAACAGGUGAUUUCACUUUUCGAAUGAUCCGAAAAAAGGCUACUGCUCUCAUAGAUGCCUGUGAACCCCACCACUGAGCUCCUCAGCCCUCCCAGCUGUGGUGUUCCUCAGAUGGAGUUCACUCCAUGAAAGCACCAGAAAACAGGGCUCUUGACGACAGGGUAAAGGAUUAGGGAUAAUUUCAUUUCAGAAGGAAGAGGCUGAGGAGGGACUUAAUUGUCUCUGAAGGAUGCUCCUGAGGAGCACAAAGGUGAGCUGUUCUCCAUCUCACCAAGGGAGAGAAGACAAAGUGGAUCCCAAAGGUGCGAGCAAAGUUGCCGGUGAGCUCCCCGCCUGGAGGGUGCAGGGAGACUCGGCUGGAGGGUGGGCGGCUCUGGAGGGGACGCUGUGGGAGAAAGCAAUAACCCAGCCCUCUCCUUGAAAGAAAAUUUUAAAAAGCAAGAAAUUAACAGAAACGGUAAGACAGUAAGACUGUGGGAGGAGGAGAGCUCUCCAAGGGCUGGGAAGCUGGGCUGCAGGAGGGCUGGAAAGAUGAGCAGAACUUUUAAAAGCAGAAAGCAAGGGGCGGGAGUGGAUAGCAGUAUGAAUAGAGAUGAGAACUGGGGAUAGGCUGACUGUAUCCUGCAGGCUGGGCAGGAACCAUCUCAGCUGAAGUAUCUCUGGAGGGAAAGCAGGAGGUAGGGAGAUGGGGCUGGCUGGUGUUUUAACCUUUACCUGUGGGCAGUGGGGACACACUGGUGAUGCUUCAGCAAGGGAGUGACCAUUAUGGGGUUCCUGGGUCUCGUGUAUAACCCUUUGAGGAAGCGUGGGCCGGCAGAAUUGUGUAGUCCCAAACUCCUGUCUACAGGUCCCCUCCUGCCCAUCACAGACUGGUCUGCCGUAGAACGAGAAGAGCACAGACAGUAUAGUGAGCCUUUAAUAGAGCUCAGUGCUUUCCAUUCAAAGUGCUGUCCUUUAUUCUAAGAUUAUGUUCUAUCAGUCAAGAGUCUAAGUAGAGGGAUAAAUUAGGAGGUUGAGAUUAACAUAUAUACACUGCUAUAUAUAAAGGAGAUAACCAACAAGGACCUACUGUAUAGCACAGAGACUAUACUCAAUAUUUUAUAAUAACCUAUAAGGGAAAAGAGUCUCUCGAG